Molecule: long non-coding RNA, 486 nt
Organism: Balaenoptera ricei (Rice's whale)
Lineage: Eukaryota; Metazoa; Chordata; Mammalia; Artiodactyla; Balaenopteridae
Exons: 3
Source: RefSeq, a predicted model, not a curated record
AUACUCUCUGUUACAAAUUAGUGUUCAGAGUCUUUGGUGAUACUGACAUUUGGGAGUGCUUGAGUCUGGUCUACACGUGAAUAUUGAUGACAACAGUGAACUCAGAACCGUGGGCAAGCUUAUGGCCGCCGCCAAGAGCCAUCUAGAGCCACCACCUUGAGGACUGGAGGGACAGAAUUAACUUAAGGACCAAUCAGACUAGUUAAAGAGGCCCUGUCAGAACAGAGGAGCAAGAGAAACUAAGAAGAGGUCAAGAGGAGAAAGAGGAGAUGAAGAAGUGACCGAACCUUCCGUGGAUCCUCUUGCCUUGAAUCCCAGAGACCCUUCCUUAGAUCAAGGAAGGGCAAAAGGAGCAUAUAAUAUAUCAAAAUUGUACACUGUAUUAAAAGGGACUUCACUGAUCCUAUAUAGCUUCCAAAGGACCAAUAAUAGAAUGGGAUCUGCCUGAGGUGUUAACAGAUGUGAAAGGGGAUUCAACAGAGCAGA